Molecule: ribosomal RNA, 223 nt
Filed under: uncultured bacterium
Lineage: Bacteria
Description: partial 16S ribosomal RNA
Rfam family: Bacterial small subunit ribosomal RNA
Source: RNAcentral
ACGUAUGCAACUUAGCUACUAGGGGGAAGGAACCCGGCGAAAGUCGGACUAAUAACCCAUGAAGCAGGGGUCCCGCAUGGGAAGUAUUUGUCUAAAGAAUUCAUCGCUGAUAGAUAGGCAUGCGUUCCAUUAGGCAGUUGGCGGGGUAACGGCCCACCAAACCGACGAUGGAUAGGGGUUCUGAGAGGAAGGUCCCCCACAUUGGUACUGAGACACGGACCAA